This 406-nucleotide transfer-messenger RNA is filed under the name Minisyncoccia. Its description in RNAcentral is "C7867-001 sp001004905 Standard tmRNA". It matches the Rfam family "transfer-messenger RNA". From Rfam's summary of the family: Bacterial tmRNA, also known as 10Sa RNA or SsrA, is named for its dual tRNA and mRNA-like properties. Its role is to liberate the mRNA from a stalled ribosome. To accomplish this part of the tmRNA is used as a reading frame that ends in a translation stop signal. Lineage: Bacteria; Bacillati; Minisyncoccota. The record is from RNAcentral.
GGGGGUGACCGGCUUUGACGGUCUGUACCUUGAAAUGCGUGCGACGCAGUGCACUCCCGCUCACCACUGUAAACUGGCGGGAAACAAACUUGCCAAGAACACUCUUGCAAGCGCGAAGCAGUCGCCUUACUUCGGUAAGGUCGGCGAUAUCGCGUUCGCCUACGCGACGGCUCGCGGCUAACGCCCGUUCAUCCUCCCGGGUUUUCGCAGCCGGAGGCAUGGGCGGAAUUAUCUGCGGAAUCGGUCCUUCGUUCUCCCGAACUGAGGAUCUAAACAAGGGAUCGGGCAGGAAUGGUUUCGCCGGCGUUCCUCGCAUCCUGCCUUAGACACGAACGUUGGCUAUGCGUCGUAGAAGCGCUUUCAUAGACGGAUUCGGACCGGGGUCCAAUUCCCCGCACCUCCACAA